GUGUCAGCCGCCGCGGUAAUACGUAGGGUGCGAGCGUUAAUCGGAAUUACUGGGCGUAAAGCGUGCGCAGGCGGUUUUGUAAGACAGAGGUGAAAUCCCCGGGCUCAACCUGGGAACUGCCUUUGUGACUGCAAGGCUAGAGUGCGGCAGAGGGGGAUGGAAUUCCGCGUGUAGCAGUGAAAUGCGUAGAUAUGCGGAGGAACACCGAUGGCGAAGGCAAUCCCCUGGGCCUGCACUGACGCUCAUGCACGAAAGCGUGGGGAGCAAACAGGAUUAGAUACCCUGGUAGUCCACGCCCUAAACGAUGUCAACUGGUUGUUGGGUCUUUGCUGACUCAGUAACGAAGCUAACGCGUGAAGUUGACCGCCUGGGGAGUACGGCCGCAAGGUUGAAACUCAAAUGAAUUGACGGGG
Molecule: ribosomal RNA, 413 nt
Filed under: uncultured prokaryote
Description: bacterial SSU rRNA
Rfam family: Bacterial small subunit ribosomal RNA
Source: RNAcentral